GCAGUCGUACGCUUCUUUUUCCACCGGAGCUUGCUCCACCGGAAAAAGAGGAGUGGCGAACGGGUGAGUAACACGUGGGUAACCUGCCCAUCAGAAGGGGAUAACACUUGGAAACAGGUGCUAAUACCGUAUAACAAUCGAAACCGCAUGGUUUUGAUUUGAAAGGCGCUUUCGGGUGUCGCUGAUGGAUGGACCCGCGGUGCAUUAGCUAGUUGGUGAGGUAACGGCUCACCAAGGCCACGAUGCAUAGCCGACCUGAGAGGGUGAUCGGCCACAUUGGGACUGAGACACGGCCCAAACUCCUACGGGAGGCAGCAGUAGGGAAUCUUCGGCAAUGGACGAAAGUCUGACCGAGCAACGCCGCGUGAGUGAAGAAGGUUUUCGGAUCGUAAAACUCUGUUGUUAGAGAAGAACAGGGAUGAGAGUAACUGUUCAUCCCUUGACGGUAUCUAACCAGAAAGCCACGGCUAACUACGUGCCAGCAGCCGCGGUAAUACGUAGGUGGCAAGCGUUGUCCGGAUUUAUUGGGCGUAAAGCGAGCGCAGGCGGUUUCUUAAGUCUGAUGUGAAAGCCCCCGGCUCAACCGGGGAGGGUCAUUGGAAACUGGGAGACUUGAGUGCAGAAGAGGAGAGUGGAAUUCCAUGUGUAGCGGUGAAAUGCGUAGAUAUAUGGAGGAACACCAGUGGCGAA
Molecule: ribosomal RNA, 690 nt
Filed under: uncultured bacterium
Lineage: Bacteria
Description: bacterial SSU rRNA
Rfam family: Bacterial small subunit ribosomal RNA
Source: RNAcentral